GACGAACCGUGCGAACGUUGUUCGGAAUCACUGGGCUUAAAGGGCGCGUAGGCGGGCGGUCAAGUCUGUGGUGAAAUCCUUCGGCUCAACCGGAGAAUAGCUGGAGAUACUGGCCGUCUCGAGGGGGGUAGGGGCAUGUGGAACUUCCGGUGGAGCGGUGAAAUGCGUUGAUAUCGGAAGGAACGCCGGUGGCGAAAGCGACGGACUGGAUCUCUUCUGACGCUGAGGCGCGAAAGCCAGGGGAGCAAACGGG
RNAcentral lists this ribosomal RNA (253 nucleotides) under uncultured bacterium. Its description in RNAcentral is "partial 16S ribosomal RNA". It matches the Rfam family "Bacterial small subunit ribosomal RNA", at positions 524 to 776 of the family's 1533-position model. The record is from RNAcentral.